GACGAACGCUGGCGGCGUGCUUAACACAUGCAAGUCGAACGGAAAGGCCCUGCUUUUGUGGGGUGCUCGAGUGGCGAACGGGUGAGUAACACGUGAGUAACCUGCCCUUGACUUUGGGAUAACUUCAGGAAACUGGGGCUAAUACCGGAUAGGAGCUCCUGCUGCAUGGUGGGGGUUGGAAAGUUUCGGCGGUUGGGGGUGGACUCGCGGCUUAUCAGCUUGUUGGUGGGGUAGUGGCUUACCAAGGCUUUGACGGGUAGCCGGCCUGAGAGGGUGACCGGCCACAUUGGGACUGAGAUACGGCCCAGACUCCUACAGGAGGCAGCAGUGGGGAAUAUUGCACAAUGGGCGGAAGCCCGAUGCAGCAACGCCGCGUGCGGGAUGACGGCCUUCGGGUUGUAAACCGCUUUCGCCUGUGACGAAGCGUGAGUGACGGUAAUGGGUAAAGAAGCACCGGCUAACUACGUG
Molecule: ribosomal RNA, 468 nt
Filed under: uncultured bacterium
Lineage: Bacteria
Description: partial 16S ribosomal RNA
Rfam family: Bacterial small subunit ribosomal RNA
Source: RNAcentral